Molecule: non-coding RNA, 2747 nt
Organism: Misgurnus anguillicaudatus (oriental weatherfish)
Lineage: Eukaryota; Metazoa; Chordata; Actinopteri; Cypriniformes; Cobitidae
Source: RefSeq, a predicted model, not a curated record
CCCGGGUUUGGCAGUUUUACUUUAAUGGAGAAUUCAGGUGAUUAUCACACUUUGAUAUGGGGCUGUGAUUAAUGUAGCCACACUUUAAAAUGGGAUUUUUCCAUUUAUUUAUUUUUUUGUUCACGUGUUAGAAAGGUAAAGCACGGAGAUGGUAACGACCUAACUAACAGUGUAUUUACACGGCUUCUCUACUCUGCAAGUGUGCUAAGCUAGCAGCAGGUGGGUUAAUUAAUGAAGGUCCUGUUUCUGGCAUGCUUCAACACACACAAACAUACAGAGAACAGAGGGACACACAGGUGGCGAUUUGUGCGUUCGUGAUCCAUCUCCGCACAGCCAAACAAGCAGGUGACCGUCUAAGCUCUGAUUUAUUUCAGGUCAUCAGACGCAAGCUCAAGUCGGCAGGGUGUACAUUUGUUUGAUUUGUUUGCUUAGCACUUCUGUAACACUGUAGAUAUGUGACCUUGCCUGUCUGUGAAAACCCAACUAAAGCCAUAAAAUCACUCUAGAUAAUGUAAAGAAUAUUGUAUGUGAAAAUAUAACUUAGUAAGGCCACAUCAAAGAUUCAAACAGGGUUCCCAUGGGUUCUUGAAAGUUUGUGAAUCUGGGGGAAAUACUUCAAGGCCCUUGGAAGUUUUUGUAAAUAUACAUACAUAGAUACAGAUCAUUGAAAGUGCUUGAAUCUAUUUAAUGAAAGAAGUUUUCUGGAAAAAAAACCAUAUUAUUCCCUGUGUAGUGUAGGAUAAUAUCAUAAAAAUUCUAGACUUUUUAAGCACACAUGCUAAACUGUUUUCUUUAAAUGCUUAUAUCUUCUGUAUGCGAAUGUUGAUUCAUACCAAAAUGCUUUUUUGCAUAAUUGUGUUUGACACAUGAAAACGUCUCGGGUUACGUAUGUAACUGUUGUUCCCUGAGAAGGGAACGAGACGCUGCAUCUCCCUUGCCAUACUUCCUGCGUCCCUGUAAUGCCAUCUUUGGCAAUAUUUCAGAUAGCGAUAUACUUCCUGGCUCCCGCGUCACCCUGUCUUUGUCGUUAAUCCUCACCAUUGGUUAAAUUUGGUAUACACGUUCAGACGCACUUAAUUCUGGAAGCGUCCCCAAAGUGUCACCGCAGUGACGCAGCAAGAGUUCCCUCAAAAGGGAACUGUAACAAUGUAUCUUUAAAGGUAACAUGAUGUAACCUUGCCCUCACUUGAAAUGUGUCCCCACAUUUAGUCCUUGAAUUUGAGAGUAUUGGACCUGGAAAGAUCCUUGAAUUUGAAGUCAACUAAGGUGUGGGAACCCUGUUUAAUCAAUGACUAAAAUCAAACUUUGAGACUUUAGCCUGGAUUUGAUAGACAGGCUCACAUACAGUACUGUGCAAAAGUCUUAGGCCACCACCACCAGACUUGUUGUUUUAAAAGUUUUAAUGUCCAUCCAUAUUUAUUUUUCAAUCUAUUUUAUUAAGAUACAAACAGAAAAUACAGGAAAUAUGUACACAAAAUUUAAAACAAAAAAUUUUCAGGACUAAAUGUCUUCUUUAGGCAUCGUCUGUGUUUAGUGUGACCUAUCUUGGCACGAAACACAUCUUGAGCGUUUUUGAGCAGAAUGAAGUAAAAAGAAAUGAGGAUUUAAUUUUAUUUAGGUUUAAGAGAUCCUGCAGUUUCUUGCUAUUGCUCAAGUGGAAUGGGAGUUUACCCUAAAAACUUGACACAUCAGUUUUAUACAGUUUUUAAUACUAUAUACACAUUUCCUGUAUUUUCUGGAUGUAUUCUAUUAAAGAGACUGAGAAACAAUUAUAUAUGAUCACUAUUACAUCACUAAAACAUCAAAUCUAAUUCUAGCAUGGUUGCCUAAGACUUUUGCACAGUACUGUAUGCAUCCACUCGUGGUUUUCUCCUAGUUUGUGAUGAUUACAUGCACCGUUGACACAUUCUGCAUUGCCUCUUUGAUGUCAGGUCUGAGAUCAAACCCUCACCAAGCAGGCACGCAUCUGCAGAGCUGCGUAAUACACCAGCAGGUCUGGUGGUAAAGCUGGCACAGAGAUUUCAGUGGCCUGGGCUGUGUGAUUGAUGAGAUGGGUAUCUGGUAGAGCUGCCCCUCAGGACUGCCCUUUCUAACACUCCAGCACUGAGAGUGAUUAACCUCACUGUGGCACAUGCAGAACUCACCAUUAUGAGGACAGAACGAUUGAUGGCAUUACGUUGUCCUCAUUGAGUGGUGGAAGGAAGGAACGAAUGGGAAAUGACGAGGAAGACUGGCAUUGCUGUGUUAGGAAGAAAGUCUUCCAAAGUGUCAAUAAGUUUAGGAUGUGAUAAAACGCACUCGUUGUUUACAGAUUAGCAGUAUUCUCUCGGAUUGUGGGUUCGAUUUGCCAGUUUGUUUUCCCAGUUCAGUUUAGCUUGUUCUCUUGUAGUUUGUAAUGGGUUCUCAUUAAGGCUUUCUAAUGGUUUGACGUUUUGUUCACUGUCCUGCUGUUGUAGCCGGACAAUUUAUUAUCAAGUUAUAAGUACUUCAGAGGUUUUGUGGCAGAGAAAUUAGGUCUGAUGUGCUCAUUUACACUGCUCAGCCUGUCUAUGUUUAACUUUGUUGAGCGUAGAGAGGUAAAUUACCACUGUUGGCAUUACAAUACACAGAUUUGAUCUAUUUGGACAUCUGGAAAGUAAACAUGCAGCUUCUGUUAAUCACAUUAUUUUUGGGCUAUCAGUCGAUAUAACUGUUGUUCAGUCUCCAUCACUAAUUUAUAUUGCUUUGUGAAAGUGAGAAACCACAAU